UACCGCUCAUCCUGGGUUCCCCCUCUUGGCACCGUGCAUUCUGAACCUGCAAUGACGUCACUAUCACUGAGUCUACCGCUCAUCCUGGGUUCCCCCUCUUGGCACCGUGCAUUCUGAACCUGCAAUGACGUCACUAUCACUGAGUCUACCGCUCAUCCUGGGUUCCCCCUCUUGGCACCGUGCAUUCUGAGGGCUUGGACGGAUGGACAGUGAUAGGUACCCACCACAGUGCCAUCCUCCAAAGCUGCUUGAGCGCCCUGGAUUCCUCCUAUUCACCACCUGUUAUGUCUUCUCUUCUCUGACAAGCAAUGGCCCUUUAAUGAUCGUCAUAAUUUCCUCUUCCCGAGAACGUCAUAGAGCUGCAACCUUACAGUGCACCAUAUUUGCCGAGGAUCUCUUUUCACUCAUUAAUAUGCAUUUGUUUCCUUCAUGUCUCUCCACGGUUUUAUGUGAGCUCCUUUUUGUUUAAUACAGAAUCACAUGCCAUUGUCUGUAUAUACCGUCUACGGAAGUCUUCUUUACCAGGAUUUGGACACUUACAAGUAAAGCUGCUAUGCACACUCGCUUCCAGGUCAUAUCUACCAGUUCCCAGGGCAGGCCUGCUGUUAACCACGUUCAUUUAUUCACCAGCAUUUGGGCCCGGGACAGCAGACACUCUGGAACUGUCUAGGGAUAACUCAGGCAUUGUACAAGGAGAGUCUGAGAUCUACUGCUCCUUCACUUCCCUUGAGAGAAAGAGUAGGCCUCCCAGAGAUAUCAACAGAACAGAGCAAAAAAAUAUGCAAGACCUCUAUCAGCACCUUCUGGGCCACCAAGAGGCAGGAUUUCCAGCAUAGACCCAGUGUUACAUGACCUAGGACUUCUGAAGUUCUCAAAUCAUCAUUGUCUUUUCUGUUUAAAUCCCAAACUGAGAUCUACUGCAAAUCUGGCCACAUGCUGAGUGGGUUGGAAAGGCAGAAACAUGAAGUGAACAGAAAGCAGAAGAUUGUGGAGACACAGGAACAGCACUGUGUAAAAGUCCAUGCAGUGAAUAAACUGGUAACCAAGGCUAAGUCAACUUUGACCUUCUGCAGGAUCUGUGCUAGCAUUGGUAGAAGCAUAUACAUCAGAGAGAGAAAAAGAUAACUCAGGAUCACAUAAAAAAAGGAAAUCAGACAGUGACUCCCAAUGAAUGCUUUUUAUUUUUUCACUGAGAACAGCCUGCUCUGAUAAUCAUAAAGCUAAAAACUAACACCUACAAAGUGCUUAGGAGAUCGGCACUAUUUUAUGAGUUUCCUACAGACACCAUGCUCCAUACACAUAAGGUCAUUUGUUUCGAAGAGCAAACCCAUGUGAAGGAAGCACCAUGACCCUUCAGAGGACCACCUCUGUUCCUGCCGUGCAUCUUUCUCAAUGUUCCACUCAGUUUCACCAUAAACUAAAGCAAGAUCUAACUGUAAAUGUAUUCUAUAACAUUCAAAAUAGACUUCAUAGAAAGAAGGGAGAAUAUACUGUCUGACACACAAGACUCCACGUUUUAUACAGAAGCUCUCUUCCUGACACCUCCUUCUGACUUAUUGUGUAAGUUAUCCCCUGAGUUCGGAGCCCACUGAGGAAGACAAUCCAGGCACAGAGAAUGGUUUAGGGGCUAUGUGGUGUGCUAUUCCUUGCAUAUGUCACCCAGGUCAGCAAAUUGCUCACCAAUCAGUGGGUCUUUUCCUUGAGGACAAAAUUGUUGUGAGGUGGGGUGGGAAGAGGAAGUAUUUAUCAUGUCAUAUAAACUCAUCAUGCUUCAUGUAUGUGGAAUACACUGCUAUUUACUCUUCACUGUGACAUUAAAUAGGAAUUCAAUUUGUGCUGUAAAGGGGUUCGGGUAUUAAACAGUAACUGAACAGCAACUAGAGAAGCUAGUUUGCCUGACUGCCUAAAGUGGAAAGUUCAAAGUCAUGGAAAACUACACCCCCCACCAUCGCUCGCCUGCACACUAGUAGUGAUGGUUUGCUUCUAAGCCAGAUCUUUCACCUGUCCAAGUGGCUAAGUCGGAGGCUGAAGAUGGAUGGAAGG
Rattus norvegicus (Norway rat) is the source of this 2043-nucleotide long non-coding RNA. RefSeq lists it as uncharacterized. The record is from RefSeq and is a predicted model, not a curated record. Lineage: Eukaryota; Metazoa; Chordata; Mammalia; Rodentia; Muridae.